Haliotis rubra (blacklip abalone) is the source of this 108-nucleotide long non-coding RNA. RefSeq lists it as uncharacterized. The record is from RefSeq and is a predicted model, not a curated record. The transcript has 3 exons. NCBI's taxonomy places the organism in Eukaryota, Metazoa, Mollusca, Gastropoda, Lepetellida, Haliotidae.
ACUGAUAUUCGUAAACACAAUGUGACUGAGUGAGUUCAGUUCUACGCCGCCUUUUUGCAAUAUUCCAGCAAUAUCACGGCGGGGGACACCAGAAAUGGGCUUCAUACA